Molecule: ribosomal RNA, 253 nt
Filed under: uncultured bacterium
Lineage: Bacteria
Description: partial 16S ribosomal RNA
Rfam family: Bacterial small subunit ribosomal RNA
Source: RNAcentral
UACGUAGGGUGCAAGCGUUGUCCGGAAUUAUUGGGCGUAAAGAGCGUGUAGGCGGUCCGGUAAGUCCGCUGUGAAAGUCGGGGGCUCAACCCUCGAAUGCCGGUGGAUACUGUCGGGCUAGAGUGCGGAAGAGGCGAGUGGAAUUCCUGGUGUAGCGGUGAAAUGCGCAGAUAUCAGGAGGAACACCUAUUGCGAAGGCAGCUCGCUGGGACGUAACUGACGCUGAGACGCGAAAGCGUGGGGAGCGAACAGG